RNAcentral lists this small RNA (4419 nucleotides) under Arabidopsis thaliana (thale cress). RNAcentral describes it as "ATSL193410". The stretch from base 907 to 1013 matches the Rfam family "Plant small nucleolar RNA R71". The record is from RNAcentral. Lineage: Eukaryota; Viridiplantae; Streptophyta; Magnoliopsida; Brassicales; Brassicaceae.
GAUUAAAUCAAGGACAGGUCGAGUUGGCAGCUCUCGAUCAUGGCAGAUGGUGAUGGCGUGAGCAGUUGCAUACUCCUUUGGAUUCUGUAUGGACUUCCCUGGAAGUCCUGUGACUUUAGGUACAGAGGUAGAUGCUGAUUGUCCUUCCAAAUAUCUGACUUUGGUAUUCAAUGCCUCCACUUUGGCAUUCAGGUCAUUGUAGUUGCAGUCUAGCUUAUGGUGCAAUUCGGAUAAUUUCUUAGGAAUUUCCAUUGAGCUUGAUGCUUGUCCCUGUAGCAGCUGUUGUACCAUCUGUUUCAUUUCAGCAUCAGGAGCAGUAGGACCUUGGUUUUCCUGAGGUGCAAACCCAUGUGGUGGUUGUGGCUGGUAGUUCCCCUGGAAUUGCUGCUUGGGAACGAAACCUUGGUUGUAGAGAACAAAAGGUUUGUUCUGACCUUGUUGUUGCUGUGGAGGAUACACAUGAUCCUGAGGAUUAGCAACGUUGGUGCUGCGGUAGGAGAGGUUGGGGUUAUUGGUUUUGAAGUUGUUGUAUCCUUUGUAGCCACCCUGGUUGUUGUUGAUGUAGCUGACUUCUUCCAACUGGUUACCCUCCCCAUCUUGGACUUGAAAUUGCUCGUCAUCAACAAGGAAGUGCACAUGCUUCUGCUGGCUAAGAAGAAUCCUGUCGAGCUUGUCAUUCAUCGCCUUGAUCUCCUUCCUGUGUUUGUCAUCAGAGUCAGCGGUUCCUCUAACGGUCCUAUCGUAGUCCUCGUUGUAAUUGCCAUCUGAUUGAGCAAGGUUCUCAACCAAUUCCUAGCCUUCUUCAACAUCUUUGUUUUGGAAAUUUCCACUGCAGGCGGUAUCCAGAAGCAUUAUGAUGUGUGGUAGGACUCCUCUGUAAGAGUGUUGUUCAGAGAGGCUUUAGUAAAGCCAUGAUGAGGGCAUUGGUUGGUGUAACCCUUGAAACGCUCCCAUGCUUCACAGAAGCUUUCACCAGCCUUCUGUAAAAAGCCAGACAUCUCAUUUCUGAGUCUUGCAGUUCUGGCAUUGGAGAAGAACUUUGAUAGAAAAGCCUUCUUGCAAUCAUCCAGGUGGUGAUUGAGUCAUGGGACAGAUUCUUCUCCCAGAUGUGUGCUUUGUCGCCCAAGGAGAAUGGAAACAAACGGAGCUUGAAUCCGUCUUCACUAACACCAUUGAUCUUUGUUAGGUUGCAGAGCCUAUCGAAUUCAUCAAGGUGGUCGAGUGGAUCCUCCAUUGGCAGACCAUGGAAUUUGUUCCCCUGAAUUAUCGAGAUGAGACCACUCUUAAUCUCAAAGUUGUUGUUCUGGAUAGCAGGAGGUGCAAUUCCUUUCCUCUGACGGUGAUCACGUGGUGCAUCUCCAGCACCAACGUUGGUAGGGCCAUUUUGUUGAUUUUGUUCGUCAGCCAUUUCGAGUGGUUGCUGAGGUACAAGGUUGACUGUGUUUCUCCUUUCUCUGAGUUCGCGAGCUAUUCGGUCGAUGUUCUCGUUGAAAAGGAGGUUCUGAUUGCCUGUUGAUCGAGUUGGCAUACAGUAGAGGUGUACCUGGAUCAAGAAGACAACAAGAAAAACACACAGUUAGUAACUGAAAAGAAAAUUGAAAAAGAACUUGAUCUAAGCAAGUCUGAAAUCUCAAAUGUAACAAACAAACACCCAAUUGGCAACGGCGCCAAAUUGAUAAUAGAUUUUUCAGUCAAUUAUCCUAAAACACCAAUCAUGUCGUUGUAGUAUUUUAGGUUGUCAAUCCAAAUGGGUGUGAUGCUAACAAUCAAGAUGUGAUCAGAAGUCACUAAGUCAAGCCAAGCAAUAACAGGUUUUGGUGUGUUCUAGCAGUUCUAAAUGAACAUGCAGAAAACAAAAAUUCAAGCAGAAACAAUAAAACACUCGACCAACACAACUUUUGCAGAGCACUAGGUGAGGUCGAGUAACAGACAGAAAGUAUAACACAGUUACUCGACUGCACAGUCUGUUGCCAGACAACUGGGUGGUCGAGUAUGAGGUUGAGUAACAAGAAAGAAUUGCAGAAAUUAAGCAACAGAUGACAAGAUGCAGUAAACAACAGUAGUGUAAACAAAGAACUCAAUAAGAUAAAGAAUUCCCGAGGAUGGGGUAAUUGAGUAGUUUCGUUUCCUCAGUUUACAGGUGAUUGACAUGCUCAAUAAAUUAUCCCUAGACAAUAAAUUCAUUAACCAAAUCUAAGUGCCACCGCAAUAGAGACCCUCAAGUUAACCUAGUCCCAGACUCAAUUACCAUUGACGAGAGCUAACCUAACAGGCAUUACGAAUCAACAAGUUAAAGCCAAAACACUCCCUCCAACCAAUACCUUGGUACAGGGUCACGAAUCUCUGGAAUUAAUGGUUCAGACAUUUCAUCGAACACGUUUUGGGCGCGGAAAUGUCUGGGCUCAAAUUCCAGUUGAUCAGAAAGCAAUAGGCAUUAAGAACAACUAAUCCAGAAGGGAUCUAUCAAUCAAUACUCAACCACCUAGCAUACUGAGAAUUCUACACUACUCUAACCCAUCCUCAGAAACCUAUUCACUACUUAGACAUCAUAGCAGAAAGCAUAAACGUUGAACAGGUUGAAAACAUGAUAACAACAGUGUAACAGCAGGAUGAUAACAGAAUGAACAACAGUAAAAGAAAUCCAAAACAAAUACUGAAUACUGAAUAAAUAAAGAGAAAUUCGGAUUACAAAAGGUCUAGAACACAGUGUCUGCAGAAUAAAACUAGAAAAAAACUUGUUUGCGAAAAUGUGAAGUACAUGCAACUUAUAGCAAAAUAUUCUGAAACCCUAAUACUUAAAACGACGCAGUAUUAGGACGGAUUAAGAACUGUACUCGACCCAGGUGGUCGAGUAGGAGGUCGAGUGAAUAGCUGGAGUCUUCUUUUCUUCCUUGUACUCGAGUGUCUGGUUGAGUGCGGAAUGAAAAAGACUCUGAAGCUCUUAAUCGAGUAUGUAGUCGAGUGGUGGUGAUGGUGAUACUCGAUUUCAAGGUAGAGUGGUGAGAUCGAGUGGUUGUCUGGUAAUGGUGGUGAAGACACUCGACCUCGGGGUCGAGUGAGGUGAUCGAGUGAUGGUCAGGUGAUGGAGAUGAAGACAUUCUACCUCGUGGUCGAGUGGUGAGGUGAAGUGGUGAUGUCCUCUACUCGACCAGGGGGUCGAGUGGUCUGCUGAGGUUGUGAAGCGUCUACUCGACCUGGGGGUCGAGUGGUUUUGCAUGAUCAGGUCCGCUUCUUCCAAUUAGCUCGUCAAUAGCUUCGAAUCACCUUAAAACAACACAAAUAUGCAACAUGCAUGCAAAACUAUCCUAAACAUGUAAAGUGAUGACAAAUGAUGAGAAAUUGUAUAAAACAGUGAUGAUAUGAUGCUAAAGUGAUGACAAAUGGAUGCUCAAAACAUGCAAAAUACACACUAUUCAGUAGCCUCCAUUAAACUGUUGUUUAGGGACAUAACCUUGGUUGUGUUGAACAAAAGGCUUAGACUGAUUAUGUUGUGGUGGAUACACUUGAUCUUGGGGGUUAGCUACAUUAGUGCUUCUGUAGGAGAGGUUUGGGUUGGGCUUGUAGUUGUUGUAGCCCUUGUUGAACCCUCCUUUGUUCUGAAUGUAACACAGCUAGCUCUUCAGUCUGAUCAUUCCCCCUUCUUGCAUUUGGAAGUGCUCUUCAUCAGUGAUGUAGUGUAUCUGCUUCUGCUGAGCCAACAACAACUUGUCUAGCUUUUCAUCCAGAGCCUUGAUAUCUUUGCUCUAUUUAUCCUCAGUUCCUCCAGUUCCUCUCAUUGAGCGAUCAUAGUCUUCAUUGUAGCAUCCAUCAGAUUGUGCUAGAUUUUUGACCAACUAACAUCCUUCUGCUACAUCCUUGUUCAGGAAGUUUCCAUUUGAGGCAGUGUCGAGUAGUAUUCUGAUCUUUGGUAAAGCUCCUCUUUAGACUAUGCUCAAUAAUGAAGCUUUCUUGAAACUAUGAUGGGGACACUGAGUGGUGUAGCUUUUAAUCCUCUCUCAAGCUUCACAGAAAGUUUCAUUGUUUUUCUGUGUGAAGCCUGAGAUCUCGUUCCUCAAUUUAGAUGUGCGAGCAUUAAAGAAGAACUUGGCAAGAAACGCUUUCUUACAAUCAUCCCAGGAGGUGAUGAAGUCUGGGGGCAGAGUCUUCUCCCAGUUGUAUGCCAUGUCUCCCAAAGAGAAGGGAAAUAGUCUGAGCUUAAACAUAUCUUCAGUGACACCAUUGAUCUUGGUAAGGCCAGAGAGCCUAUCAAAGCUAUCAAGAUGGUCUAGGGGAUCUUCCAUAGGUAGACCAUGAAACUUGUUUGCUUGUAUCAUUGAGAUGAGACCACUCUUGAUCUCAAAAUUGUUAUUCUGAACUGGUGGAGGCACUAUCCCUUGUCUUUGGUGAUGAUUCCUUGGGGCAUCACCAGCACCAAUGUUU